UAAAAUUUACAUGUUGCCUACUUCUUCUGC
RNAcentral lists this non-coding RNA (30 nucleotides) under Rattus norvegicus (Norway rat). The record is from RNAcentral. Lineage: Eukaryota; Metazoa; Chordata; Mammalia; Rodentia; Muridae.